CAAGUUCAGAGUGCUGGAGGCAACAAAGGUACAUUACUUUCCUCCUCAAUUUCUUUAACUCCUCACCAUCCACUCCCUUCUAUUCUCGCGUUGGCUAUGGCUACCAAUCAGAGGGUUUGCCAGCGGCCGCUUUGGUAUGUCUGUCGAGGCAGAUACGGCUGUAGAAAGUGUCACUGAAGCUGGCCUUCACACAUGACAGUCGGGUGGAAGUAGAGGUCCGUCUCUAGACUCGCUCACAAUACAUUCAAUUCAUUAACCUCUUCUGUAUUUCAGAUGGCCUCAUUGUGGUAGAUGGUUCGAUGGAGAUAGGCCAUGGUGGUGAACUCACAAGCGAGUCUGCAGGUGGAAAGACUUUUCUGCCAAUGCUACCUGCCCAUGAGGCACCCACUGAUCAAGGUGAUGGGCUAGAUGGGAUGGUGGAUGAUGGUGGAGCCUCAAUGACUCCCAGAGAAGUUUCCUGAGAAGUUUUAGAUCUGCUUCCCAGGUUCAAUCACCAUUCUGCAUUCCCACUAAUCCUCUACAUGCAGAAACCCCGUCCCCUUACUAUGGAUAAAGUGGGCAAUUCUGGCGCACCCUACGACGGCGUCUCUCCACAUCCACAGAGUCCACCUCAAAUCUCAGUUGACCACGCCGGUGCGACACAGAAGGAGUGGCUGGUCAAAAAGAUUCUGAAUUUCUGAAUCUGUGUGUGGGAGGGCAAGCCACUCCUGAAGUACCAUAUCACAUGGCAGUCUACAUAGCAAUCACAGUGUGAUCUGAUCUCAGGCUGUGAGAAACUGAUCAAAAAAUUUCAUGCAGAGUGGAAGAAUGAGCAGUCUUCACUGACUACUCUGACAGAUCACAUGCAUUUCAAGCAGAAGAGAAGAUUAUGCAGAGAUGAUACAUACAAGAUUGUAAAAUCAAUUGUUUAGAAUUCUCAUCUAUUUACAUAUCAUUAUCAAUUUCAGCUCUGAUUUGUUCUGUACUUUUUCUAUCUUGAUUGUUACUCCGUUCGUCUAUGCUCCGGAGGUAAGUAUAAAAGCCUCUCCGGUUCUGGGUAUCUAUAUUUAUAUUCUUAAGCUGUAAUAAAUCAUACCGCAAAUCAACUCGAAAGAGUCACGCCUCAACAGAACCCUGUAGCUAUCUAGAAACCCAUCUGACUUGUAACAGGGGGCAUUUGCCGCAAUGCCGAAUGCGAACUAUGACGUGCGAAGACUUUCAGCAACCUCCUCCUUGAACGCCAAGGGUAGCACCAAUGCAUCUCCGCCGUUGUUAGAGCACCGUUAGACACCAGAUCGCCUCAAGCUUACGGUCGAACAUCUAGUUACGCGGAGAUAUCCACAGAGCAGGGGAGAGCAAAUCAUUCUGAUCUUCCCUGGCUUUAAAAAGCAUAGCUGGACUUGAGCACAACCAAGCUCGUUUCGCGUUCAAGUGGAUCCUCUUUGACAUCGGUCAGCUUAGUCGCGCAAAUGAAACUCUCCUACGGUGUAAAAUAGCCUCA
RNAcentral lists this small RNA (1480 nucleotides) under Histoplasma capsulatum. RNAcentral describes it as "hypothetical RNA". The record is from RNAcentral. RNAcentral also lists the same sequence under 1 other name. Lineage: Eukaryota; Fungi; Ascomycota; Eurotiomycetes; Onygenales; Ajellomycetaceae.